This 140-nucleotide ribosomal RNA is filed under the name Malawimonas jakobiformis. Lineage: Eukaryota; Malawimonada; Malawimonadea; Malawimonadida; Malawimonadidae. The record is from RNAcentral.
CAAACCAUAUAAAAACUUAACUAUUUUUAUAGGAAUGGAAACACCUGAAACCAUAUAGAAUUCAAAGCGUGAAAUAUUCCUAAUUCAAGAUUACCAUUAAAAAAAUGGGAAAUAUGAAAGAGUUUAGUUAUGUGGUUAAU